GUGGGGAAUUUUGGACAAUGGGCGCAAGCCUGAUCCAGCAAUGCCGCGUGUGUGAAGAAGGCCUUCGGGUUGUAAAGCACUUUUGGCAGGAAAGAAAUAGUGCGUGCUAAUACCAUGCGCGAAUGACGGUACCUGCAGAAUAAGCACCGGCUAACUACGUGCCAGCAGCCGCGGUAAGACGUAGGGGGCAAGCGUUAAUCGGAAUUACUGGGCGUAAAGCGUGCGGAGGCGGUUUUGUAAGACAGGUGUGAAAUCCCCGGGGUCAACCUGGGAACUGCACUUGUGACUGCAAGGCUAGAGUGUGUCAGAGGGAGGUGGAAUUCCGCGUGUAGCAGUGAAAUGCGUAGAGAUGCGGAGGAACACCGAUGGCGAAGGCAGCCUCCUGGGAUAACACUGACGCUCAGGCACGAAAGCGUGGGGAGCAAACAGGAUUAGAUACCCGAGUAGUCC
Molecule: ribosomal RNA, 450 nt
Filed under: uncultured bacterium
Lineage: Bacteria
Description: partial 16S ribosomal RNA
Rfam family: Bacterial small subunit ribosomal RNA
Source: RNAcentral